RNAcentral lists this ribosomal RNA (439 nucleotides) under Pantoea sp. LL90. Its description in RNAcentral is "partial 16S ribosomal RNA". It matches the Rfam family "Bacterial small subunit ribosomal RNA", at positions 56 to 471 of the family's 1533-position model. The record is from RNAcentral. Lineage: Bacteria; Pseudomonadati; Pseudomonadota; Gammaproteobacteria; Enterobacterales; Erwiniaceae.
GGGAAAUUGCGCUGCUACAAUGCAGUCGGACGGUAGCACAGAGAACUUGGUCUCUUGUGACAAGUGUGGGACAGGGGAGUAAUGUGUGGGGGUCUGCCCGAGAGAGGGGGAGAUCCCCUGUGAACGGUGGCUAAUACCCCAUAACGUCUCAAGAGCCCAGAGGGGGACCUUCUCGCCUCUCUCUAUCGGAUGAGCCCCCAUGGGAUUUUCUAUUAGGCGGGGUAAUGGCCCCCCUAUGCGACAAUCCCUAUCUGGUCUGAGAGAAUGACCCCCCCCACUGUGACUGAGACACGGUCCCCACACCCACGGGGGGCGCCAGUGGGGAAUAUUGUGCACUGGGCGCAAACCUGAGGCACCCCUGCCGCGUGUAUGAAAAAGGCCUUCUCGUUGUAAAGUACUUUCUCCGGGGAGGAAGGCGACGGGGUUUAUAAACCCGUCG